This 603-nucleotide ribosomal RNA is filed under the name Kocuria sp. CMT232. RNAcentral's name for it is "bacterial SSU rRNA". It matches the Rfam family "Bacterial small subunit ribosomal RNA", at positions 274 to 886 of the family's 1533-position model. The record is from RNAcentral. Lineage: Bacteria; Bacillati; Actinomycetota; Actinomycetes; Micrococcales; Micrococcaceae.
CGACGACGGGUAGCCGGCCUGAGAGGGUGACCGGCCACACUGGGACUGAGACACGGCCCAGACUCCUACGGGAGGCAGCAGUGGGGAAUAUUGCACAAUGGGCGCAAGCCUGAUGCAGCGACGCCGCGUGAGGGAUGACGGCCUUCGGGUUGUAAACCUCUUUCAGCAGGGAAGAAGCCACAAGUGACGGUACCUGCARAARAAGCGCCGGCUAACUACGUGCCAGCAGCCGCGGUAAUACGUAGGGCGCAAGCGUUGUCCGGAAUUAUUGGGCGUAAAGAGCUCGUAGGCGGUUUGUCSCGUCUGCUGUGAAAGCCCGGGGCUCAACCCCGGGUCUGCAGUGGGUACGGGCAGACUAGAGUGCAGUAGGGGAGACUGGAAUUCCUGGUGUAGCGGUGAAAUGCGCARAUAUCAGGAGGAACACCGAUGGCGAAGGCAGGUCUCUGGGCUGUUACUGACGCUGAGGAGCGAAAGCWUGGGGAGCGAACAGGAUUAGAUACCCUGGUAGUCCAUGCCGUAAACGUUGGGCAYUAGGUGUGGGGGACAUUCCACGUUCUCCGCGCCGUAGCUAACGCAUUAAGUGCCCCGCCUGGGGAGUACGGA